This 461-nucleotide ribosomal RNA is filed under the name uncultured bacterium. Its description in RNAcentral is "partial 16S ribosomal RNA". It matches the Rfam family "Bacterial small subunit ribosomal RNA", at positions 338 to 795 of the family's 1533-position model. The record is from RNAcentral.
CCUACGGGGGGCAGCAGUGAGGAAUAUUGGUCAAUGGGCUUACGCCUGAACCAGCCAAGUCGCGUGAGGGAAGACUGCCCUAUGGGUUGUAAACCUCUUUUGUCAGGGAGCAAUUGGCGCUACGUGUAGCGUUAUCGAGAGUACCUGAAGAAAAAGCAUCGGCUAACUCCGUGCCAGCAGCCGCGGUAAUACGUAGGGGGCAAGCGUUAUCCGGAAUUACUGGGUGUAAAGGGAGCGUAGACGGUGAUGCAAGUCUGGAGUGAAAGGCGGGGGCCCAACCCCCGGACUGCACUGGAAACUGUGUAACUUGAGUGCAGGAGAGGUAAGCGGAAUUCCUGGUGUAGCGGUGAAAUGCGUAGAUAUUAGGAGGAACACCAGUGGCGAAGGCGGCUUACUGGACUGUAACUGACGUUGAGGCUCGAAAGCGUGGGGAGCAAACAGGAUUAGAUACCCUAGUAGUC